GGCUCUGCAGCCUGCAGACCCUCCACAUGCUCACAAGCUUCCCCUGGUGUCUGUGCCCAUCAGGCACCCUUGCAGCGGAGACGGAGACCUGCCCUGUGCUUUCCUGAGGAACAGGCUCACAAAGGAAGCCCAGCCAGCUCUCCGGGACUGAGAACAGAGGAAGCAGACAACUUCCACCUGCUCCAAGGUUCCCUUCAGACAGGACAAUGGGCAAGCACAGCUCGCUGGAGUCCCUCGUCUGUCAUCUGAGGCCAGAGCAAAAUGCCUUUCCUCUAUGUGCUGGAUGUGACACCUCGACCGUGCAGAAACAUGGAUGUUCCUCUGGGCGCUACGGUUACGCGUCUAGGUGGCAGAAGGACGGAGUCAUACCUG
Sciurus carolinensis (gray squirrel) is the source of this 372-nucleotide long non-coding RNA. RefSeq lists it as uncharacterized. Lineage: Eukaryota; Metazoa; Chordata; Mammalia; Rodentia; Sciuridae. The record is from RefSeq and is a predicted model, not a curated record. The transcript has 3 exons.